UGACUCCGUGUGUGGGAGCCAGGAGAGACUCUUGGAGAAGGUGGUCAAUCGGGAGCCUCUUGCAAUGGUCCAGUUGAGUGAUGGCAACAGCAGUGGCAAUGGUGUGGGGAGGAGCCUGCUUGGGUGUCCCUCCGGCUCAGGCUGAGGAGCCUCCAGUAGCUGCCUCACCCCUCCCCCAGGCAAGGCUAGGACAGAAGGUCCUCCUAUCCCAUAAUCCCACCACAGUGUAACAUAGUUGCCUGUUUAUUUAUUCAUCCCUUUAUCCCACCGGUCCCCAGGCUGUGAAGACAUAUCCAUAUCUGUCUUAUUCAAUAUUGUAAAUAAGCAUGUAGGACAUAGUAAAUACUGCAUCAAUAUUCAUAACAUUUUUAAUUAAUCAAUCAUCUGUCCCAGUUGGCUCUGACAUUGAAGCGUUCCCACAGAUGUUGCUUCUCACAUGGGCAGCAUUCAGACUUCAGCGUCUCUCAAUGGCCUUCCUGACUCCAACCUGCAUCUCACCCUGAUUUUCUUCCUGCUCUGGGAACUAGGCUUUGGGCUUCACUCUGCUCUCUCGUGGUGUUCCGAACCAUGCACUCUGAAUGCCUUCUUUGGCUUUGUAUUUCCUGCCUGCUGAUGACCACUUACAGCAGUUCAAUCCCAUACAGGGUCCAGGGCAGGCCAAAUAGGUGGAGAACAGUCCAGAACAGUCCAUGCAUCUGACAAGUGCAUGGAUUUACCCAUCUGGAAUACAACAUUCAGCAGCUACAGAACAAAGCCAUGUGCAACUGGACAGCAAUAAAUAUCCGGAAGACCCGAUACAACCAAAAUGGCAUUGAAGGAUCUGUCAAGAUCAACAGCAAGAGAACACUGGGCCAGCAGCGCUCUGCUGGAGACAGAAACAGCCCACCAUGGAUGAACACAGCAGGGAAGGGGCACUGCCCCGCCAUCUGGAAGGUGAUGUGGAGAAGGCAUCACAGGCCCGCACAGGUUCUUUCAUUGUUCUGGUGCGUCCUCUGGGUCAUGGACGGGGAGGAACAUCCUGGAGGGUCAAGGCCACCUGCCCAGCAGUCUAGACCAGGUGAGUGUUUUCGGUGGUGAGGUAAGGUGAGGAU
This is a long non-coding RNA of Herpailurus yagouaroundi (jaguarundi), 1091 nucleotides long. RefSeq lists it as uncharacterized. NCBI's taxonomy places the organism in Eukaryota, Metazoa, Chordata, Mammalia, Carnivora, Felidae. The transcript is spliced from 3 exons. The record is from RefSeq and is a predicted model, not a curated record.